This 61-nucleotide transfer RNA is filed under the name Petrachloros mirabilis ULC683. RNAcentral describes it as "tRNA-Ser". The record is from RNAcentral. Lineage: Bacteria; Bacillati; Cyanobacteriota; Cyanophyceae; Synechococcales; Petrachlorosaceae.
GGAAGGGGUGGGUACCACGUUGACAUCGUGGGGGUCACUGGUUCGAGUCCAGUUGUGUCCA